RNAcentral lists this ribosomal RNA (382 nucleotides) under uncultured eukaryote. RNAcentral's name for it is "partial 18S ribosomal RNA". It matches the Rfam family "Eukaryotic small subunit ribosomal RNA", at positions 592 to 976 of the family's 1831-position model. The record is from RNAcentral.
CAAUAGCGUAUAUUAAUGUUGUUGCAGUUAAAAAGCUCGUAGUUGGAUUUCUGCGCCGCGCAGCUGGGUCCGCCGCACUGCGGUGCGACCGAGGUGGAGCGUCGCAUCCUUGUGGAGACUGUUUCGGCCAUUAAUUUGGUCCGUUUCAGGAACCGCAUCGUUUACUGUGAAAAAAUUAGAGUGUUCAAAGCAGGCUUAUGCCGUGAAUACAUUAGCAUGGAAUAAUAAGAUAGGACUUUGGUUCUAUUUUGUUGGUUGGAGGCCAAGGUAAUGAUUAAUAGGGAUAGUUGGGGGUAUUCAUAUUUAAUUGUCAGAGGUGAAAUUCUUGGAUUUAUGAAAGAUGAACUUAUGCGAAAGCAUUUACCAAGGAUGUUUUCAUUAA